Transfer RNA from Trichoderma harzianum, 95 nucleotides. It matches the Rfam family "tRNA". From Rfam's summary of the family: Transfer RNA (tRNA) molecules are approximately 80 nucleotides in length. Their secondary structure includes four short double-helical elements and three loops (D, anti-codon, and T loops). The record is from Rfam. Lineage: Eukaryota; Fungi; Ascomycota; Sordariomycetes; Hypocreales; Hypocreaceae.
GACACUUUGGCCGAGUGGUUAAGGCGAUGCCCUGCUAUCAACAGGUAUCAUAGGCAUUGUGUUCGCACGCGCAGGUUCGAAUCCUGCAGGUGUCG